RNAcentral lists this long non-coding RNA (561 nucleotides) under Homo sapiens (human). RNAcentral describes it as "long non-coding RNA NONHSAT169527.1". Lineage: Eukaryota; Metazoa; Chordata; Mammalia; Primates; Hominidae. The record is from RNAcentral.
GGAAAAAGAGAAGCAAAGAAUGGGGCAAUGGGGGCGGAUCACACCAGUGACAUGAGAGUUGCUCUGGUAGCAGUGGAAAUGCUACUUGUAAAACCAUCCUUAGCUCCAGGAUCGUAGAGCUAUCACUGAGACAAUUGCGCAGUGAGUGACAAGAGAGAUAAGCGGAGAAUGUGAGCCAUCUAUGAGACAGAGACACACAGGAGCAAUACCAGGAGUAAAGCAAGCUGAGAGCCGGAACAAUAUAAGAAAAGAGCCUACCAUGUGCCAGGUACUUUGCAAACACUGUUUUAGAGGACAACUUCAAUAAAAAACACCAGGUCAGCGGAUAAGACCAUGUCACUCACAGGUUUGUGACUUGAGGCCUGAGCACCAAUGAUCCACUCCACAUCAGUGGAGAAUGUUGGAAAGUAAGGACGCUGUGGACAUUUUCUGAAGUUGGAGAAAUGGAAUGGUGGAGAAGCCAGUAUUGGGGUACCAUGAGUGGAGCAGAGUUGACUACAAAUCUCAAUAAAGCUUUUCAACUGUAUACCUAACUGCAAAGUCAUUUACUCACAACAAGCA